AUCCAUGAAGAGUUGCAAUGUGGAUGUGAAGAUCCUUGGCUGGCUAUAUUUGGGAAGUAGAAUAAUGUGUUUAUGUUUCCCCACUGUGCAGGUGUGACACUUAAUAAUGAACUAGAGAAAGAAUAUAUUCAAAUGCAGAAACAAGACUGGGAAGGAGAAUGGAUCAGGAUCAGAGACUAGAGACAGGAAUGAAAAUGACUUGGAGAACUUUGACCAUGUACUACAACUUUGAGUUACCAACUUCUCAAGCUAUAUACAAAGUGCAGAUUAGAACAUUGAGACAUUAAAGUGACAUCAUUCCUCUGCAUCUUUCAUUUAGCAGUCAAUCACAAAGCCAGUCCUGGAAUCCACUGGUGUGAUUUGUUUCUACUUAAUAUUGAAUUAAAAUAUAUCUAGCUUUCAAUAACAGGUAGAUUCACCAUUGUCUUUUCACAAGGGUGUACAUUUCACACUGUUCAAUAUAAGAAAGUAAAUUAAA
Non-coding RNA from Ictidomys tridecemlineatus (thirteen-lined ground squirrel), 478 nucleotides. The record is from RefSeq and is a predicted model, not a curated record. Lineage: Eukaryota; Metazoa; Chordata; Mammalia; Rodentia; Sciuridae.